Molecule: long non-coding RNA, 1821 nt
Organism: Nilaparvata lugens (brown planthopper)
Lineage: Eukaryota; Metazoa; Arthropoda; Insecta; Hemiptera; Delphacidae
Exons: 3
Source: RefSeq, a predicted model, not a curated record
UUGGUAUUGUAGUUGACAAAACAUCCAGUGAAGCGCUGAUAGUAGAACUUGUUUGUAAUUUUAGCCUCUCGUUUUUCAACGGAAUGGCACGGCGCAUGCCGUCUUGUCAGCUGUGUACAUCAACAUCACCUUUCAUGUAUCAUGUACGCAGAUCCGCGGAUAGUCCAUAUAAUUUUGUCAAGUAGUUCUUGUAUGGUUAUGUUGUAGUGAUACCGUGAUAAAAUAAUUAUUAUAAUUUGUGUUUUUGAUUAUAAAAUAAGUGUGUAGUGGUUUAGAAAAAAUAUCAGUGAGUGAUAAGUGUGGUGUUUAGUGAGUGCAAAAAUGAAUACGGUACAAAAUUUCACACUUUGGAUACCUUAAAAAUGGAUACAAAAUUUCAUACUUUGGAUACCUUAUCGGAUAACUUUCCUACAGAUGAAGAUCGUCCAUUGGCUGUGCUGAGGUCUGCUGAACUACUGGAGGAGGCGAGCUCAUGGUUUAGAGCUAACAGACUGAGUAUAAAUGGAGAGAAGAGACAACAUGUUCUGUGCUGCCUGAGACUUGGUCUGCCUCCUUUUGGUGGGCCUGAGGUUAAGCUCCUUGGAUUCUUGGUAGACUCAUCACUAACAUGGGACCAGCACAUCGAUAUGAUAUGUAACCGACUUUCCUAAGUGACAUAUCUGAUGCGGAAAUUAAGAAGUCAUGUUCCAAAGAAUUACCUUGUGACUAAGAAGUCAUGUUCCAAAGAAUUACCUUGUGACUGCAUACCACGGUAGCCAUAUCAACUAUGGUAUUGUACUUUGGGGUAAUGCAAGUGGAUGUCAGAGGAUUCUCCUUCUACAGAAGAGAGCGGUUCGCAUCAUAACAUCUUCGCCAUACUUGAAGCAUUGUCGCCCGCUGUUCAGGAGGCUGGGAAUACUCACUGUCUUCAGUCAAUAUGUGCUGAGCUCCCUUGUGCUUCUGAAAGGCCAACUUCACACACUCCAAGCAAGAGGCCAGAUCCAAACUACUCAACUAGAGGGAUAGACAACAUCGACCUUUUCUACUCUAAAUUGGUAAAGCUGCACACCUGCUAUCCAAUGCGCACAUUGAAAAUUUUCAAUAAACUUCUACUGCAGGUGCGAGAGUUGGAGGAAAAAGUGUUCAAGAAAGUGCUGCGAGAGAAACUGAUUAGAAGUGGUAACCUCCCACUCUAUUCCUUAAAUGAGGUGGAGAUUGCAAACUUUGUCAGUCUCUUUGAUCGGCCAUCUUGAGAUAACUGUAAAUAUUUGAACUUUUGAGUUUUAUAAAUCGACAAUGUCUAUCCAGUAUAUACACUGGUCUCAGACGGAAGAAAAAUUGAAUUGAAUUGAAUGUUGUCUCACCGUCUAGUUGUGGAUCUGGCCUCUUGCUUGGAGUGUGUUAAGUUGGCCUUUCAGAAGCACAAGGGUGCUUAUUAUACAGUUAGUAUUCCCAGCUUCCUGAACAGCGGGCGACAAUGCUCCAAGUAUGAUGAUGAUGUUGUGAUGCGAACCACUAAUUACGUGCAAUGUAAUGAAAGAGUAGAAUAACAUUUAGAUCUGGAAAUUUGUAAUUAAUUAUCAAUAAAUUUUUUCAUGUAUUGGUAUUAAUACGAUAUCUGUAUCUCUACUUGGGAAAGUGGAACUUCUUCAAUAAAUCAACUUUGGUUGUAAACUCUUUUUUACUUCUCUGGUCCACACCAACAUUUGGGAAUUGUGGGAGGCUCCAAAUAAUGUUCCGAACAUGCAAGUUGUCAGUAAAGUGUCGUUAAGGCAUUAUAAUUAUUUUUGAAUUAAUUUUAUUACUUUCAAAUAUAAUCCCUCUUUCCUCAUUGCUUAUUUU